AGGUCAUAUGGUAGUACA
RNAcentral lists this transfer RNA (18 nucleotides) under Litoria tornieri (black-shinned rocketfrog). Its description in RNAcentral is "partial tRNA-Ser". The record is from RNAcentral. Lineage: Eukaryota; Metazoa; Chordata; Amphibia; Anura; Pelodryadidae.